Long non-coding RNA from Oncorhynchus tshawytscha (Chinook salmon), 707 nucleotides. NCBI's taxonomy places the organism in Eukaryota, Metazoa, Chordata, Actinopteri, Salmoniformes, Salmonidae. The record is from Ensembl.
GGUGGUGGUGAAAGUGGUGGUGGUGGUGGUAGUGGUGAUGAUGGAGGUGGUGAUGGAGGUGGUGGUGGUGAUGGUAGUGGUGGUGAUGGAGGUGGUGGUGGUGGUGGUGAUGGUGGUGGUGGUGAAGUGGUGAAAGUGGUCGUGGAGAAAGUGGUGAAAUUGGUGGUGGUAGUGGUGGUGGUGGUAGUGGUGAUGAUGGAGGUGGUGAUGGUGAUGGUAGUGGUGGUGAUGGUGAGGUGGUGGUGGUGAAAGUGGUGGUGGUGGUGGUAGUGGUGAUGAUGGAGGUGGUGAUGGAGGUGGUGGUAGUGGUGGUAGUGGUGAUGAUGGAGGUGGUGAUGGAGGUGGUGGUGGUGGUGAAAGUGCUGGUGAAAGUGGUGGUGGAGGAGAAAGUGGUGAAAGUGGUGGUGGUAGUGGUGGUGGUGAUGAUGGUGAAAGUCAUGGUGGUGAAAGUGGUGAAGGUGGUGGUGAUGGAGGUGUUGAUGGAGGUGGUGGUGGUGGUAGUGGUGGUGUUGGAGGUGGUGGUGAAAGUGAUGGUGGUGGAGAAAGUGCUGAAAGUGGUGGUGGUAGUGGUGGUGGUGGAGGUGGUGGUGGUGGUGGUGAUGGUGGUGGUUGUGAAAGUGGUGAUGGUGGUGGUAGUGGUGGUGAUGGAGGUGGUGAUAGAGGUGGUGGUGGUAGUGGUGGUAUUGGUGGUAGUGGUGGUGGUGAAA